Long non-coding RNA from Dreissena polymorpha, 828 nucleotides. RefSeq lists it as uncharacterized. NCBI's taxonomy places the organism in Eukaryota, Metazoa, Mollusca, Bivalvia, Myida, Dreissenidae. The record is from RefSeq and is a predicted model, not a curated record. The transcript is spliced from 4 exons.
AUUUAGUGUAUUCCGACCUUUACAUAUAUCUUUUGUACUUCAAGGUUCAAGAAAAAACGCCUGAAUUGGCGAUUUGUGUACAUUUGGAGUGGACUAAGUUGAUACAUUUUUGUUCGUUGUUUUCUGAAUUGAGCGUGGUGGAGAUCAAGAAGGCGUCCGGGGCUCCGAGAGAGUGUGUCUACCGUGAUCUGCUACCUAUAGAUUGCGUCUUACAGUAUAAAUUAUAGAUGAUGCGGUUUCUGUUUGACUUCUGGAUUGGGUGCAUACUUAUAAACGUACGACAGGGAGGUCACGGCCUUCUAAUGGUUUCCGACGGGAAAGGAUCAUCUAUUGAAUGUUCAUCAAACUACGAAAUCACUUUUAAAUUUAUCAGCCCAGUCCAAGGUGCAUCAUUUGCGAUCGCAGAUUGUGAUGCAGUAAUUAAAAAAUGUCUUUUGCUUGUUAAAGGUCUUGAAAACACAUAUAAUAUUUCUUACACUGGACGCGGAGGAAUUCUGCAUAUCAAUCAUAUAGGUAACGACACGUAUGGAACAUACGAAUGUUGUGAAACGUACCACCCUAGCAUUUAUGUGACCGUGGACAUUAUUCCUCGUUAUAUUGAUGGCGGGGAUGAAAAUAUUACUCGUUGUGACCAUAAUUAUAUUUUAGUUUUAUUAAUGUUUAUAUAUAUUUGUUUGUGAAUUUAUUCUGUUAUAAAAGGAAAAAACAUUAUAUUCAUUAUAGAUAAUCAUCCUGUAUGUAAACUAUUAAGGGACAUUUUUAUAAUUUUGUACUCAAUGUAUUAUGUCUAUUUGUGUGUAUUGGCAAUACAUGUAUUCUGUUCAACCA